GUCGAGCGAACGGACGAGAAGCUUGCUUCUCGUGAUGUUAGCGGCGGACGGGUGAGUAACACGUGGAUAACCUACCUAUAAGACUGGGAUAACUUCGGGAAACCGGAGCUAAUACCGGAUAAUAUUUUGAACCGCAUGGUUCAAAAGUGAAAGACGGUCUUGCUGUCACUUAUAGAUGGAUCCGAGCUGCAUUAGCUAGUUGGUAAGGUAACGGCUUACCAAGGCAACGAUGCAUAGCCGACCUGAGAGGGUGAUCGGCCACACUGGAACUGAGACACGGUCCAGACUCCUACGGGAGGCAGCAGUAGGGAAUCUUCCGCAAUGGGCGAAAGCCUGACGGAGCAACGCCGCGUGAGUGAUGAAGGUCUUCGGAUCGUAAAACUCUGUUAUUAGGGAAGAACAUAUGUGUAAGUAACUGUGCACAUCUUGACGGUACCUAAUCAGAAAGCCACGGCUAACUACGUGCCAGCAGCCGCGGUAAUACGUAGGUGGCAAGCGUUAUCCGGAAUUAUUGGGCGUAAAGCGCGCGUAGGCGGUUUUUUAAGUCUGAUGUGAAAGCCCACGGCUCAACCGUGGAGGGUCAUUGGAAACUGGAAAACUUGAGUGCAGAAGAGGAAAGUGGAAUUCCAUGUGUAGCGGUGAAAUGCGCAGAGAUAUGGAGGAACACCAGUGGCGAAGGCGACUUUCUGGUCUGUAACUGACGCUGAUGUGCGAAAGCGUGGGGAUCAAAC
Molecule: ribosomal RNA, 731 nt
Filed under: uncultured Staphylococcus sp.
Lineage: Bacteria; Bacillati; Bacillota; Bacilli; Caryophanales; Staphylococcaceae
Description: bacterial SSU rRNA
Rfam family: Bacterial small subunit ribosomal RNA
Source: RNAcentral